GACGAACGCUGGCGGCGUGCUUAACACAUGCAAGUCGAACGGAAAGGCCCUGCUUUUGUGGGGUGCUCGAGUGGCGAACGGGUGAGUAACACGUGAGUAACCUGCCCUUGACUUUGGGAUAACUUCAGGAAACUGGGGCUAAUACCGGAUAGGAGCUCCUGCUGCAUGGUGGGGGUUGGAAAGUUUCGGCGGUUGGGGAUGGACUCGCGGCUUAUCAGCUUGUUGGUGGGGUAGUGGCUUACCAAGGCUUUGACGGGUAGCCGGCCUGAGAGGGUGACCGGCCACAUGGACUGAGAUACGGCCCAGACUCCUACGGGAGGCAGCAGUGGGGAAUAUUGCACAAUGGGCGGAAGCCUGAUGCAGCAACGCCGCGUGCGGGAUGACGGCCUUCGGGUUGUAAACCGCUUUCGCCUGUGACGAAGCGUGAGUGACGGUAAUGGGUAAAGAAGCACCGGCUAACUACGUG
Molecule: ribosomal RNA, 466 nt
Filed under: uncultured bacterium
Lineage: Bacteria
Description: partial 16S ribosomal RNA
Rfam family: Bacterial small subunit ribosomal RNA
Source: RNAcentral